UUUUUACAAAAACAUAGCCCAAAGAUUUAUUUUAGGUAAAUUCUGCCCAGCGUAAUUUAUUAGCGGCCGCAGUACUUUGACUGUGCUAAGGUAGCAUAAUCAAUUGGCUUUUAAUUGUAGUCUGGAAUGAAAGGACUAAUAGGGGUUAGCUGUCUCUAUACUAUUAUUUUGAAUUUAUUUAUUAAGUGAAAAUACUUAUACAAAGAAAAAAGACGAGAAGACCCUUAGAAUUUUAAUAAAAUAUUUAAUAAUUUUUUUUUGUUGGGGCGACAUUGAAACAAUUAAACUUUCAUUGACAAUCAAGACAUUUAGGUUUGAAAGAGUAAAUUACCUUAGGGAUAACAGCAUAAUUAAUUAUUUAGUUUGUGACCUCGAUGUUGGACUAGGAACUAGAAGAUUAACCGUCUAAAUAGAUGUCGUCG
RNAcentral lists this ribosomal RNA (422 nucleotides) under Pseudosuccinea columella. Its description in RNAcentral is "partial 16S ribosomal RNA". It matches the Rfam family "Bacterial large subunit ribosomal RNA", at positions 1802 to 2621 of the family's 2925-position model. The record is from RNAcentral. Lineage: Eukaryota; Metazoa; Mollusca; Gastropoda; Lymnaeidae.